GAGAUCAGUUAUUGAUUUUAUUGGGUUUUAACCGCCCUUUUAAGGCGAGGGUCGAGCGUUCGAGCCGCUCGCGGCUCACCA
This 81-nucleotide transfer RNA is filed under the name Nitrospirota bacterium. Its description in RNAcentral is "Nitrospirae bacterium tRNA-Ser". The record is from RNAcentral. Lineage: Bacteria; Pseudomonadati; Nitrospirota.